AUACGGGGGGUGCAAGCGUUAAUCGGAAUUACUGGGCGUAAAGGGCUCGUAGGCGGAAAGAUAAGUUGACGGUGAAAUCCCCGGGCUUAACCUGGGCAGGUCCGUCAAAACUGUUUAUCUAGAGUACAGUAGAGGGAGGGGGAAUUUCCGGAGUAGCGGUGAAAUGCGUAGAUAUCAGAAGGAAUACCAGUGGCGAAGGCGCCCUCCUGGACUGAAACUGACGCUGAGGGGCGAAAGCGUGGGGAGCGAACAGGAUUAGAAACCCCAGUAGUCC
This 274-nucleotide ribosomal RNA is filed under the name uncultured bacterium. RNAcentral's name for it is "partial 16S ribosomal RNA". It matches the Rfam family "Bacterial small subunit ribosomal RNA", at positions 523 to 796 of the family's 1533-position model. The record is from RNAcentral.